This 317-nucleotide long non-coding RNA is filed under the name Brassica napus (rape). Its description in RNAcentral is "long non-coding RNA (BNAP_LNC008197)". Lineage: Eukaryota; Viridiplantae; Streptophyta; Magnoliopsida; Brassicales; Brassicaceae. The record is from RNAcentral.
UCCUCACCCCUGUUGACCACAAAUCCUUCAACUCUUUUAUCAGUGGUUUUAGGAAAACAUCCAGGGACCUUUUUGGAUGGUUCGGACCAGGUAUUAAUAUGGUCAAGAAUAGCAAUUCCCGUUGCAUGCACAUCUCCGGUGGCAGAUUGUAUGGUGUAAGAAAGACUGGCCACAAUGAAUAUUGUUUCCCUGACAUUCCAAACUGACUAAAUCCAUCUGUCCAUAGUCCGAGAUACACAUUGCGGCUAUUGCUAGCGAAAUCCGGAUAUACUUUGUUGAAAUGUUUCCAGGCUCUUGCAUCUGAUGGAUGAGUCAUC